Trichosurus vulpecula (common brushtail) is the source of this 315-nucleotide long non-coding RNA. RefSeq lists it as uncharacterized. The transcript is spliced from 3 exons. The record is from RefSeq and is a predicted model, not a curated record. NCBI's taxonomy places the organism in Eukaryota, Metazoa, Chordata, Mammalia, Diprotodontia, Phalangeridae.
AUGACACUGCUUAUAAUGUUCCUGACCCACCUCCACCCACAAGUCAUAUUUAUCUCCUUCGCCGAUAUUUGAAAUGAGAACUACAUAAAUUGAUCAGAAGAAAUUUCUUGCAAUUAUUUCUAUUAAAUGGACCAAUCUCUGAUAACUGCAGGAUUCCUCAACACUCCUAAAAUGUAACCUCCAGCAUGACCUCCUCUGGCUAUCUGUGAUGUAGUCUGCUGCUCUCCCCAUUUUUCCUCUCACCCAUUCUACUAUUUCCUUACCCAUUGAGUGUUAUUAUGUUAGAAUCCCUCAUACAUCUGUUAAUUACCUACU